This is a non-coding RNA of Gymnothorax javanicus (giant moray), 86 nucleotides long. The record is from the annotation of a GenBank genome assembly. Lineage: Eukaryota; Metazoa; Chordata; Actinopteri; Anguilliformes; Muraenidae.
GCUGCCAGAUAGCUCACUCGGUUAAAGCACUGCACUGCGGAGCAGAAGCGUCUAUCACAGCGCGGGUUCGAGCCCCGGUCGUACCA